UACGUAGGGUGCGAGCGUUAAUCGGAAUUACUGGGCGUAAAGCGUGCGCAGGCGGUUCGUUGUGUCGGUGGUGAAAGCCCCGGGCUUAACCUGGGGAAUGGCCAUGGAAACUGGCGAACUGGAGUGUGGCAGAGGGGGGGUGGAAUUCCGCGUGUAGCAGUGAAAUGCGUAGAGAUGCGGAGGAACACCGAUGGCGAAGGCAGCCCCCCUGGGCUAGCACUGACGCUCAGGCACGAAAGCGUGGGGGAGCAAACAGG
Molecule: ribosomal RNA, 257 nt
Filed under: uncultured bacterium
Lineage: Bacteria
Description: partial 16S ribosomal RNA
Rfam family: Bacterial small subunit ribosomal RNA
Source: RNAcentral